CCUACGGGAGGCAGCAGUGGGGAAUAUUGGACAAUGGGCGCAAGCCUGAUCCAGCAAUGCCGCGUGAGUGAUGAAGGCCUUAGGGUCGUAAAGCUCUUUUACCAGGGAUGAUAAUGACAGUACCUGGAGAAUAAGCUCCGGCUAACUCCGUGCCAGCAGCCGCGGUAAUACGGAGGGAGCUAGCGUUGUUCGGAAUUACUGGGCGUAAAGCGUACGUAGGCGGUUAUUCAAGUCAGAGGUGAAAGCCCGGGGCUCAACCCCGGAACGGCCUUUGAAACUAGGUAGCUAGAAUCUUGGAGAGGUCAGUGGAAUUCCGAGUGUAGAGGUGAAAUUCGUAGAUAUUCGGAAGAACACCAGUGGCGAAGGCGACUGACUGGACAAGUAUUGACGCUGAGGUACGAAAGCGUGGGGAGCAAACAGGAUUAGAUACCCUGGUAGUCCACGCCGUAAACGAUGAUAACUAGCUGUUCGGGCACUUGGUGCUUGAGUGGCGCAGCUACGCAUUAAGUUAUCCGUCCGUCGGGUAGGUACGGUCGGCGAAGAAUUAAAACUUAACUAAAUAGUAAGUUAGUACGGCGUGAGACGUAGCCGAACGGACGACGACGAGGGAGGUAGG
This 616-nucleotide ribosomal RNA is filed under the name uncultured bacterium. RNAcentral describes it as "bacterial SSU rRNA". The stretch from base 1 to 517 matches the Rfam family "Bacterial small subunit ribosomal RNA", at positions 338 to 873 of the family's 1533-position model. The record is from RNAcentral.